UACGGGGGGGGCAAGCGUUGUUCGGAAUUACUGGGCGUAAAGGGCUCGUAGGCGGCCAACUAAGUCAGACGUGAAAUCCCUCAGCUUAACUGGGGAACUGCGUCUGAUACUGGAUGGCUUGAGAUUGGGAGAGGGAUGCGGAAUUCCGGGUGUAGCGGUGGAAUGCGUAGAGAUCCGGAAGAACACCGGUGGCGAAGGCGGCCUGCUGGGCAGUGACUGUAAUGGUCAAUAGCUGACGCUGAGGCGCGACAGCGUGGGGAGCAAACAGG
RNAcentral lists this ribosomal RNA (269 nucleotides) under uncultured bacterium. RNAcentral describes it as "partial 16S ribosomal RNA". It matches the Rfam family "Bacterial small subunit ribosomal RNA", at positions 524 to 776 of the family's 1533-position model. The record is from RNAcentral.